GGGGCGCUGGACUGGUUGGACGGGCUAUCUUCAGGGGUUCCGAUUGCCGUCAGCUGCUGUAGAUCGGCCUUCCUGAGAAUUCUUCGGUGGCCACCGUCAUCCCCGCGGAGGCAGGGAUGGCAGGGGACCUUGAAUAAGGGGGCAAUGCGUCAGGGUGGACACACAACAGCGAAAACUCCUAGCCGGGGAAAGUCGAGGGAUAGAGGACGUGAAGU
RNAcentral lists this signal recognition particle RNA (215 nucleotides) under Ochromonas sp. CCMP1393. RNAcentral describes it as "partial Metazoan signal recognition particle RNA". It matches the Rfam family "Metazoan signal recognition particle RNA", at positions 38 to 254 of the family's 299-position model. From Rfam's summary of the family: The signal recognition particle (SRP) is a universally conserved ribonucleoprotein. It is involved in the co-translational targeting of proteins to membranes. Lineage: Eukaryota; Chrysophyceae; Chromulinales; Chromulinaceae. The record is from RNAcentral.